RNAcentral lists this transfer RNA (65 nucleotides) under Ammianus toi. RNAcentral describes it as "tRNA-Asp". Lineage: Eukaryota; Metazoa; Arthropoda; Insecta; Hemiptera; Tingidae. The record is from RNAcentral.
AAAAAGUUAGUUUAAAAUAAAACAUUAUCUUGUCAAGAUAAAUAUAUAAAUACUUAUACUUUUUU